RNAcentral lists this ribosomal RNA (448 nucleotides) under uncultured bacterium. RNAcentral's name for it is "bacterial SSU rRNA". It matches the Rfam family "Bacterial small subunit ribosomal RNA", at positions 28 to 494 of the family's 1533-position model. The record is from RNAcentral.
GAUUAACGCUGGCGGCAUGCCUAAUACAUGCAAGUCGAACGGAAGCAGCAAUGCUUUAGUGGCGAACGGGUGAGUAACACGUAGGGAACCUACCUAUACGACGAGGAUAACUACUGGAAACGGUAGCUAAAACUGGAUAGGAUCAAUUGAGGCAUCUUGAUUGAUUUAAAGAUCCUUCGGGAUUACGUAGAGAUGGCCCUGCGGCGCAUUAGCUAGUUGGUGAGGUAACGGCCCACCAAGGCGACGAUGCGUAGCUGAGCUGAGAGGCUAAACAGCCACACUGGGACUGAGACACGGCCCAGACUCCUACGGGAGGCAGCAGUCGGGAAUAUUGGGCAAUGGGCGAAAGCCUGACCCACGCAAUGCCGCGUGAGUGAUGAAGGUCUUCGGAUCGUAAAGCUCUGUCUUCAGGGACGAACAAGGUGACGGUACCUGAGGAGGAAGCCCC